GUGCUUACUUUGGCAGCACAUAUGCUAAAAUGGAAUGAUACAGAGAUUAGCAUCCCCCUGUGCAAGAAUGACAUGCAAAUUUGUGAAGGGUUUCAUAUUUUA
RNAcentral lists this small nuclear RNA (102 nucleotides) under Carlito syrichta (Philippine tarsier). The record is from RNAcentral. Lineage: Eukaryota; Metazoa; Chordata; Mammalia; Primates; Tarsiidae.